This 253-nucleotide ribosomal RNA is filed under the name uncultured bacterium. RNAcentral describes it as "partial 16S ribosomal RNA". It matches the Rfam family "Bacterial small subunit ribosomal RNA", at positions 524 to 776 of the family's 1533-position model. The record is from RNAcentral.
UACGUAGGGUGCGAGCGUUAAUCGGAAUUACUGGGCGUAAAGGGCGCGUAGGCGGCCGAUCAAGUCGGAGGUGAAAGCCCAGGGCUCAACCCUGGAAUGGCCUUCGAUACUGGUUGGCUCGAGACCGGAAGAGGUAAGUGGAACUGCGAGUGUAGAGGUGAAAUUCGUAGAUAUUCGCAAGAACACCAGUGGCGAAGGCGGCUUACUGGUCCGGUUCUGACGCUGAGGCGCGAAAGCGUGGGGAGCAAACAGG